CGGGUGCAGUUGGUGCCGGGUAUGAUUGCGGUGAGAUCCGACGGUCAGGAAGGUUUUUAGAGUUAUGAUCGGACUCCUGUCUCGAUUUUGAACAUAGGUUUUGGCCUUUAAAAGGCCUGUGGCCAAAUAGAGAAGAACGGUGGUGUGCCCAGUCAAUAGUGAACCGAGACGAGCAGCAGUCGUGAGCAGAGCCCGACAGCAGGAGCAGCAGACCCU
RNAcentral lists this long non-coding RNA (216 nucleotides) under Elaeis guineensis (African oil palm). RNAcentral's name for it is "long non-coding RNA (EGUI_LNC001513)". The record is from RNAcentral. Lineage: Eukaryota; Viridiplantae; Streptophyta; Magnoliopsida; Arecales; Arecaceae.